CCUACGGGAGGCAGCAGUGAGGAAUAUUGGUCAAUGGACGAGAGUCUGAACCAGCCAAGUAGCGUGAAGGAUGACUGCCCUAUGGGUUGUAACCUUCUUUUAUAUGGGAAUAAAAUGUUCCACGUGUGGGAUUUUGUAUGUACCAUAUGAAUAAGGAUCGGCUAACUCCGUGCCAGCAGCCGCGGUAAUACGGAGGAUCCGAGCGUUAUCCGGAUUUAUUGGGUUUAAAGGGCGCGUAGGUGGAUUGUUAAGUCAGUUGUGAAAGUUUGCGGCUCAACCGGAAAAUUGCAGUUGAGACUGGCAGUCUUGAGUACAGUAGAGGUGGGCGGAAUUCGUGGUGUAGCGGGGAAAUGCUUAGAUAUCACGAAGAACUCCGAUUGCGAAGGCAGCUCACUGGACUGCAACUGACACUGAGGCUCGAAAGUGUGGGUAUCAAACAGGAUUAGAUACCCUGGUAGUC
Molecule: ribosomal RNA, 460 nt
Filed under: uncultured bacterium
Lineage: Bacteria
Description: partial 16S ribosomal RNA
Rfam family: Bacterial small subunit ribosomal RNA
Source: RNAcentral